CUGGAAUGCAGCAGCAACAGCGAGCUGGGACUGUG
Molecule: non-coding RNA, 35 nt
Filed under: Timspurckia oligopyrenoides
Lineage: Eukaryota; Rhodophyta; Bangiophyceae; Porphyridiales; Porphyridiaceae
Source: RNAcentral